CAAGGGGCAGUAAGGUUUGGGAAGGGGCGUACCACUGCCCCAUGGAGGGCUGUGCCUAUGCGCACGCAGCCAACCCUGCCAAGCUCAAAGGUCUCUAGUCCUCACUGUUGCUGGCCCUGCUCCUCUCCAAGCCAUGAAAGAGACAUGGGGACAGGCAGUCCUUGGAUAGGGAGCAUGGAAUUUUCCUGAAGCUGCUGAGGGAGGACUGGGUUCUGACUUCUCAGGGUCUGGAUCUGCACUGGAAGCUCACACUGACCUGUUCUCCCUCAGGGUUGAAGAGGAGAGUCUGGAGGAGCAGCCCCUGUGCUGGUGCACACUCACCAUUUACCUGCUGGCAUAUUUCAGCCACAAAGCAGGAGGCCCCCUGAGUCAGCAAGGAGAGAGAUAAAUGACUGUGCAGCUCCCAAGACUGUAUGAAGGGGAUGCUGUGAAGGGCCUUCUGUGUGCAGCCAUGUAGAGGGGAAGGCAGGAGGCCCUCAGAUGCCUGGUGCAGGUCUUGUCUGCUCCUCAGAAAGUGUCUUGGUGUGAGGGGAGAAAUGGUGCUGUCUAGGGAUGGCUGGGAGCAAGAGAGCCCAAGGUGAGGUGGUAAAGGGGUGAAGGAGAAGAAAAGGGAGGAGUGAACACCAGUGAGGCUGGGGAAGGGGUCAAUGUGGGCUGUUUGGGGCAGUGAGCUGAGAUUUUAGCAGAAGCAGAACAUGUGGAACUGACAGUGAAGGCAGUCCCUCAAUCCUAGAGAGCUCUACAUAGCAUGUCUGCAUAGAGUUAAGCUGCAGUAUGCUAGGACAUGGACAACCUUCUCUGGAUACAUCGUGCUUUCCAUCUCACAUGCUGUGCACUUAUUGUGAAAUGUGAUGUACAGUGAGGUGAUGGCAAUGUUUCUGGAGUAAAGCAAGAUCAACACCAUCUGGCCCAUUACUCUUGUUCUACCACGAAGAUACCAUCUUCAGUGUCUAUGACCUUCCCAGAGUCCUCCCCACAACCACUACUCCAGAUUAGGAAAAGGACUGUACAAAACUACCCCUGAAGGCAAAUGAGGACUGCAGUGAGAAGCUGAUUCACCCCAUGGUGAAAAGGAGAAAUCUGCUACGGUAUCUGCAAGGCUCUGGCUUAAUUCUUUUUACAGAAAGGCUAGUUGCCCACCUAGUAUACUUGUUCUGAUGCUCCUGGCUGUACUCCAAGACCUGGGUUGAUAGAUGUCCUGAAUCUGCAUAGUAGCCAUCUGUUGAGAGCCUGGGAGGCCGUCACUAGUCACAGAGAGUGUGGUGCAGACCUAAUACACACAGCAGAUGCUGUGUUGUCCUUCAGUAGCUGCUGUGCACAUUAAGUAUAGAUUUUGUCAGCUAGACCACCCUUUUGCCAACACAAAUCAUAUCUUUCCAAGCAAUCUCUAGUGCUGACCACAGCCAAGGCAUGUGAGCACACAUACAGAAAAAGGAGCAGUGACAAAAUUAUGUCUAAUGAAGACCAGUCUCUACAUAGCACUGACUUUCCUAUCUUUUCCUUGGCAGCUUUGUCUUCAUGUGGCAAUAUAAAAAUAAAGCAAUACUUGGCUGACAUCAUUUACAAAAACUGCUUUACAUUUCUAAAAGAAUGACUCC
Meleagris gallopavo (turkey) is the source of this 1598-nucleotide non-coding RNA. The record is from RefSeq and is a predicted model, not a curated record. Lineage: Eukaryota; Metazoa; Chordata; Aves; Galliformes; Phasianidae.